AAUGAACGUUGGCGGCGUGGAUUAGGCAUGCAAGUCGUACGCAUAGCUUCGGCUAUGAGUGGUGCAAGGUGAGUAAUGCGAAGGUAACCAACCCUGGUGUUGGGCAUAGCCGCGGGAAACUGCGGGUAAUUCCCAGCGACGUCACGAGAUGGCAUCAUCUUGUGACCAAAAGGUGUGAUUCCGCUCUAGGACGGGCCUUCGUGGUAUUAGGUAGUUGGUGAGGUAACGGCUCACCAAGCCGACGAUGCCUACCGGGUGUGAGAGCAUGACCCGGCACACUGGAACUGAGACACUGUCCAGACACCUACGGGUGGCUGCAGUCGAGAAUCUUCGGCAAUGGGCGAAAGCCUGACCGAGCGACGCCGCGUGAGGGAUUGAAGGCC
This 383-nucleotide ribosomal RNA is filed under the name uncultured bacterium. RNAcentral's name for it is "bacterial SSU rRNA". It matches the Rfam family "Bacterial small subunit ribosomal RNA", at positions 29 to 416 of the family's 1533-position model. The record is from RNAcentral.